GGUGAGCCUGUAAAGUUUUAGGAUCAAGGUUAAAGGCCCUUUUUUGCUCUCUUCUCUCUUGGACCUUCAGGCGACGGCUUGGGUAUCUUCCAAGCGAAUUUUCCUUUCUUUCCUGUUCUUUUUUUUUUUUGAGACGGAGUCUUGCUCUGUCGCCCAGGCUGGAGUGCAGUGGCGUGAUGUCGGCUCACUGCAAGCUCCGCCUCCCGGGUUCACGCCAUUCUCCUGCUUCAGCCUCCUGAGUAGCUGGGGCUACAGGCGCCCGCCACCACGCCCGGCUAAUUUUUUUGUAUUUUUUUUUUUAGUAGAGACGGGGUUCCACCGUGUUAGCCAGGAUGGUCUCGAUUUCCUGACCUCGUCAUCCUCCCGCCUUGGCCUCCCAAAGUGCUGGGAUUACAGGCUUGAGCCACCGCGCCCCGCUCUUUCGUGUUCCAAAGGCUUUUUAAAUAAACUUCCACUCCUGUCCUGGAUUCUGCUUUAUGGCCCUCAGUCGAAUUCUUUCUUCUGAGGAGGCAAGGACUGAAGUUGCUUCUGACCAGUACAGGUACGCCGCAGGAGAAAACGAAUACAGCAGGGAUGACUUCCACCAGCUCCACUUUGCAGCUCUGAGGUGUAUUAAAAAUGACCUGGAAGAAGUCAUGCCACGGGCCAGACCUUAACAUUCCUUUCGGCUUACCCCAGGAUUUCAGACAAAGCUUCACUUUCCUAACCAGUCACAAAUCAGAGAAUUUUUGAUUCCACCUAUGACCUGUGAGCUCCUGCUUCAAGAUAUUCCACCUUUUUUAGGCCAAACCAAUGUAUAACCUCCAAGUGUCGAUUUACACUUUCGACUGUAACUUCUGCUUUCCUGAGAUUUACCCCUGCCUUUAAAAACCCUUGCUUGUAAUCCCUCAGGGAGGCCGUGUAUUUAUUAAUCAUGAGCUGCCCAAUUCUCCUUGCUUGGUGCCCUGCAAAUAAACACCCUCUUUUCUCCCACUGCAAAA
Molecule: long non-coding RNA, 980 nt
Filed under: Homo sapiens (human)
Lineage: Eukaryota; Metazoa; Chordata; Mammalia; Primates; Hominidae
Description: PPP1R3B divergent transcript
Source: RNAcentral